RNAcentral lists this long non-coding RNA (23986 nucleotides) under Phoenix dactylifera (date palm). Its description in RNAcentral is "long non-coding RNA (PDAC_LNC006452)". The record is from RNAcentral. Lineage: Eukaryota; Viridiplantae; Streptophyta; Magnoliopsida; Arecales; Arecaceae.
AAUUGCACCUUUCUUGAGGUGGCAUUGUAGAUUGAAAAAUAUUAUGAAAUAUAUAUGUGUCCUAUUGUGGGAUGCUUAAAUGCAUCUGGAGGGAAUACAUUUAGUUAGCUAUGGUGGCAGCAGAUUUUUCCCUUUAUGCAAUUGUUUUUUUUUCUUUCUAUCCUAAUCUUACUAAACUGGUACUUUUUCACAUAUGGUUGGUUUGCAUCUUUAUAGGUGUCAAAACGCCUGGAGGAGCUUCAGCAAGAAUAUGAGAAGAGAAAUGGGGGAACGUUACCCAAAGCAGGGUCUACCAAUAGGCUGCUGCAGGCCAUCAAGCAUAAAGAGCUCUCCAUCAAGCCUGAAAGGAGCAAUUGCGUACAGAAGGAUGAUCCUUCGCCUCGCAUCCUGCACUGAAAUGGAACGUAUAACAUGAAAAUAACAAUGCAAUACGCAUGGUAUGGUGGAGGCCAUUUCUUUUUUUCAUUCUUUUGUUGCACCCCCUUCCAAUGUACGUCUCUGGCAUUCUUUUAAAAAAAAAAAAUCAAAACUCUAAGUUCCAUGAGUCUAUCUUGUCCUUUUUUUUGUCGUUCAAUUGCAUUAUUUUGAGAAUGAGAAUAGGUUGGACAAAGAAAAAUAGGUUGGUUAUCAGAUCAUCACGUAGGGUAAAACUAGUAAAAGGGCAGCGCGUUCUCCAUUCUCUCCAAUGGAAAAGCCACUCCAAGGCUCCACUGUGGCUUCAUUUACAGGCAAGACAGAGGAUGAUGACAAAGGCUUGGAUCCAAGAUCAUACUUGGAUUUUUGAUCCGCUUUGGAUUUAAAUAUCACAGGUUCCUCAAACAAAUUCGUAUACACUGGACGCUCUCAAUACUCAUGGGUCUCCAUCUGAACAUAAAUCAAAACUCACCAUAAUAAAUAAAUGAUAAAGCUUUUUUUGGCAUAUGUACCGAAUAUUUUGCCGAAAUUACAUAUCAAAUAUUUCCUUAUUUUUAUUUGUAAAUUGAUUCAGAUAAUAUUGUGCUUAUUUGCAAAACGGUUCUGGGUUAGCUCAACUGUAUUGGAUGAGCGGAUACUUGUUUUCAUCAUAAUUUGUUGUCCGAACUACUCCUUACCACCUUAAAAGGUGAUUUUCCUAUAUCUCAUGGCAAAGAUGACGCUGUGUGCAUUCACUUCUCAUGGAGGUGGUGUGGGCAAGGGAUGAUAGCCUAGGUAGCAUGGGCAAGGUCAAGGGCUCGACCCAUGCCGUCGACUGGUAGGAGGCGUUGUCGAUGUUGUAUCCAACUAGUAAGGGUGCCUUUGGUGGAAAACUUCUUGGUGGCGAAUAUGUGGGACUAAAGAGAUGCCUCUUGUUUGAUUAGAGUUUUCAUAGGAGAGAGACGAAAAAGUUGUAUUCUCGUGGAAAUAUGAUUCCCACGUUUUAUGAAAAAGUCUUUUCCAUGAGAAAUAUGGAAAAGUUACUUUCCUGUGAAUCGGAAAUCGAAACAUUUUUAUUUUUUCCCAAAAAGGUCCUUCAGCUAUCUUUAUUUGAUCCAAAGUAUUAAAGACUUAAUUUUUAUUAAGAGUAUAAUAGGAAUUACACAUAACUUUCCUAGGAAAGUGGAUGGUCAAUCAAGCAUAAGCACUCUGAAAAUCUGUCACUUUUCCAUAGUCAACUAAACAUUCCAAAAGUAAUUUUUUUAGGCAUCCUCUUCCUAAAAAUUUGCUUUUCAGGAAUUAUAUUUGUAUGAGAAAACAUGCUUUUCGCGAACCAAACGAGCUCUAAGAGACAACACGCAAAGGCAGGCAUCGAAGAACUAAAUGGUGGUGGAGGGGAUGCUGUGGAGGGAGCCACUAAGGAUGGAGGGCGACACUAAGGACAACGUAGCCGAAGUGUUCGGGAGAGAUGGAGCAGGUAGGGAUCUAGCUAAGGUCAAGACCUAAGAUGAACUAAUGAGAUUGGUUAGUGGGGAUGUGUAUAUUAACGCCAAGGAAUGGCUGGGCAAAGCGAAGGUGGUAAGGAAGAGCAGAUGGUGGAGGGAGCACCAAGAUACACAAGGGCCAGGGUAGGAUUGGAGAAUCUAAGACCCUAGUUUAGAGUACCCAAGGAUAUAAUAGUCAUUUCAUAUGCCAAUUUAACUUAACUAGGGACCAUGGUUAGUAUGGGAGAUGAGAGCCUGGCAAAAGAGUUGGCUUGCAAAUAAAUAUAACAUUAUCUGGGAUGAGUUGCUAAUAGUAAUAAUGAGAGAUUUAAUAUAUAAUAUUGGAAAAAUGUUGGAUGUAAUAUGCAAAAAUAGUUAAAGCAAUAAUCUAUAUAGAAAAAUAUUUCUAGUAGAACUAGGACUUGCAACGAUUCUUAGUAGCUCUAACCUGAUGUGGUUAGAGAAAUUGUAAUUGUAAAGGGUUUCAUUUGCAUCGGGCCACCCACCUUUCUGGUUGACAUAUCUCAUAGUUAAUUUUAUUCUCAUGAGCAUGAUACGGAUAAUUACCAUGGAUUAUAUUUAGCAUCAUACGUUUCUAUUUGAAAAUGUUUGUUUAGUUGCAGAUACAUGUCACUAUUCUAUUUUCAGCAUGCGGAAGCUAUCUACCUUGUAUUCAUUGGGGGUAUGGACAUGGGCUAUAUUUCCUUCACCACCAAAUUAAAAAUUAGAAGCAAGAAUUGGUAUCUUAGUAUCCCUUAAUUUACGAAGCAAACCAAGGUUAGGCACUGUAUUUGGAUGGAUAGUUGUGAACUUUCAUAAGUGGGGAGCAAAUGAUUUUAUUAUCAAAAUGAGUUGUUGGAAGGGGUGAAUGUCGAUGGGAUGAACUUGUCUUAGAGGUGAUUCGGGGUUUAGGUGGAUGUCACUCUUUACUAAUCGCAAAGCCUGGAUUUUUAUUAGGAGUGGAAAGAAAGGAUGAUAAUAAAGCUAAAAAUGGAUUGGACAUAGAUCAAGUACUAGUAUAUAUCCAUAUUAUGUCUAUAUCUUUUUCAGAGAAUACGAAUAGAGACACAGAUAUUAAAUGAAUAUCAAAAUUAGUUUCUAUAUUUGUUAUAAAUGGAUAUAGAUAUAAAUAGAAUAUUAAGCAUAUCCAUAUUCACUUUAAACAAAUACAAGUCGGAUAUUAGAUUAUCCAUAUUUUUUCAAUCUAAAUAUAUAUAUAAGUUGGUUACUAUUCAGAUAUGCAUUAGAUUUUGAGUGAAAAUCAACAAUGAAAACUAAUAUAAAUCACAUGAUCAUAAAGGAUGGAGAAAAAUCCACUAUUAAGAUCGGAUGUGAUACACAUUAAUCUGAUAAUAUAUAAAGUGUAGUAUUAAAAUUGCAUGAAGUUUGAUUUGGCCAAUGAUUGGUCCUACCAAAUUAUAUAUUAAAAAUUAUAAAUUAUUUAGAUAAAAUAAAUCUAAUACAAAAAAAUUAUACAUUAAAUACCACUGGUUCUCUUAAAUUGUAGAAUAAAUAAAAGCAUCAUGAAUUGUCUAUAUGUUAAAGAACUUGUAAGAAAAAAAUAUAUAUAAAUAUAGGAAUAUAGAGAAUUUAAAUAUUUUUAAAUAUUUUAGACAAAAAGGUUUUGAAAAUAUCAUAAAGAAUAAAAUGAAGUUAGUCAUUUUCCAUUUUUAUCAAAGGGAAAGGAUUGAAUUUGUUAUGACAAGAAGUAAUUAUUGAAAUAUGAAAUAUCAUAACAUAUUUCAAAUAAGUAUAUUUUAGAGCAUGAAUAAACUUUGAAUGAACCUUAAUUAUUUAACCAAGUAAAAUAUUGUCAUGAUAGCUAGAUGGUUGUCAACCAACUAAGAGAUUGCUGGUUCAAUUAUCUAGAUCUAGAAAACUUAAAUUAUGUAUUUGGAUAUAGUUCCAACCUAUUUUCUAACCUAGGUGGUAAUAAUAAAAUUUUGUUAAUUUAUUGAUAACAAUUGAACUUACAAAAUUAUAUCAAUUUGUCAUAAAUUUAGUAUAUGCAAACAUGCUUUUUUGUAACAAAAAAAAAGUUCCUAUGUCAUGCAUCAUCUAUCUAUCGAAACAUAACAUUAUAAUUCUAAAAAUUUAAAAGAGAAUUGAAUAUUUUAGAUGGUAANNNNNNNNNNNNNNNNNNNNNNNNNNNNNNNNNNNNNNNNNNNNNNNNNNNNNNNNNUCAUAACUAUUAGUACGGCUUAUUAUUGGGUUGAUUAUCUAGAUGUGGGAAAAAUUAAAUCAGUAUGGAUCUGACCUAUUUUCAGCCUUAGGUAGCAAUAAUAAGACUUAUUAAUAUAUUAAUAACCAACUAGACUAAUAAAAUAAUGUCAAUUUGUCAUAAAUUUAAUAUGUGCAAAUCUAUUUUUUCAGGAAAAAAAAGUUUGUAUGUCACGCAUCGUCUAACUAUCAAAGCAUAACACCAUAAUGUCUAAAAAUUUGGAAAAUAAUUGAAUACUUUAUAUGGCAAUGGUUAGAUGAGCACAUGGGAGGACAAUAAAAUAGUGGGAAUGGAUUGGGUGAAAGAAGGUAAAUGCAUGACCAUAGUUUUGUCACUCUAUCUCUCUCGAGCUUCUUCAUCAUUUUUUUUAUUUGAACUUAUUUUUUUAUUUUUACCUACUUGCUUAAGACUCAUAUAAAAAUCAUUUUGUAUUUAGUUUUAAAAUAUAUUAGAAUGCAUUAUAGAUUUGCAGGACGAAUGUUCUAGAAGUGAAGGAGAUUGCAAGUCAUUAACGGAAUGAGAGGAGAGCCACAGCUAGGCUAAAGGAUCUCAAGCUAAAGCAAAAGAAUAGAAGGCUUGUAAGAUCCAAUUCUCUACUCUAAGGAUCUUUUCAUAGAUAAAGGAAGGAUAGAUCAGUUGUUGAAUAUAUUUUUUUUCAUAAAUUGAACAAGGGUUAAGAUAAUACCAAGUAGCAUCUAUUCAAUGGCCUAAGGAGAACAUCAUGGAUUAAGGGUUUAGCUUAAGAGCAAUUGGAUGCUCUAUCCUAGAUCUAAGCUUCUUUUUUUAUCUUUAGAAAGGAAAGCUAGUUAGAGCUCAAAAAUAUAAGAUCUAUUUGGUAUUCUCACAAUUUUUUUCUAUUUUCUGGUGAUUUUCUUGUAGAUUUUUAGGUACUUUGAGAAUGAUUUUAAUUGAUAUAGAUAGAUAUCUAAAAAUUAUGAAAUUUUAACUAGGGCACCAAAGUAAUGAGAGGAGGACAAGUUCGAAUUUGACCUCAAUUUGAACUUAUGUUAUUUGGAUUCAAAAUUCAUCAAACUUGGGCUGAAAAUUGUACCUGGUCAAUUCUAAUUGAUUUACGUGCGUAGGGAACUAACCAAUUUGAGUAUGAAAAUGACUAAUUGGGCGUAUAAAUCGCUAAUUGGGGUAGACAGAACUUAGAAUUGGGAAUUGGAUUAGUUGGUGGACUAGGCUUGUUAGUUCAAGUUAAUUUAGCAAAAAUAGUAACAAUUUUGCUCACUUGAGCUCUCAAAUGGUCAACUUGAGGUGGAUUGAGAGUAAGUAAAUUAAGUUUGAAAUGAAGUAGGAAGGGAAAAUUUGGAUCGGAAUGGAAGAGUGAGGGUUUGCAAUUUGAGCAAAUGGGUCAAGUGAUGCAAUUGCAUGCAAUUGGAUUCAGUUGAAUGUGCAAUUGAUUAAUCGAAUCUAGGAUGAAUUAGAUAUUGAUCAAUUUAGAGCUAAGUUAAUCAAGAAAAGUAGAUUAGUGAGAUGAAGAUCUACCAAAACCAAGGAGCGUGAACACUUAUUAUUUUUAGGCCUAAAACUUGGAAGGGAAUGUCUAGGGUGUCUACGGUUAUAAUACUAGAGACCAUAUACACGUACGGCAUAUUUGACGGAAGAGAUAAGAAUAAGCAACUGGUAGAAUCCAAUCUAUUUAGGAGGUAGAAUUAAAGAAUGCAAUCAAUUUUGAAGUUUAAGUUAAAUCAAAGAAAUAGAUAAUGUACAAUUCUUUGUAGAGUUUUACAAAAAAAGUUAGAUUUGACUGGAAAAGGAGAAAAGAGCGCAGGUAAAAAAGUGGGAGUUCUUGCAAUAAAAGUUGAUUGAUGGAAUUAAGAGAGAAUAUUCCCUUCAUUUUAGAACUGUUAUUUUCAUAUAACAAUUUUGAUAAGACAGAUAAAUAUUAAUGAAUUUUCUAAUACAAUUAUUACACUUCAAGCCACAUGGUUCUAAAUUUUAAAGUAGUCUUUAAGGUAGGAUAAAUAGACAAUAUUAUGAAAAAUUGAUUUUAGAAAAAUCUAUACUUUGAAUGGAAAUAUAUACUUUUCCGGGUGCAUUCACAAAAAAUGCCCAAUUUGUAAAGUUAUUCUUUUACAUUGUUGGAAAACCCAACUUCGUUAUGUUAUAUUAUAGGUAGGCUAACAUUAAAAUACAAUAUUUUCGUAUGUUUGUCACUUUAGUACAAGAUUAUGGUGAUGAACUAGAAAAUGUGAUUUCUAAAUUAGCCUUCGUUAAAAAUCAAAACUCUAGUUUUGGAACUUCGACUUUGUCGCAAUGGCGGAAAAUUUAAUUGCCAUAGGCUAGAAUUGCCGAACAUACUUUUUCAUAUGACCAACCUACAUGACACUUACAUGGUAGGAAACUCAUCUAUUCUAUUAAAUAUUAUUUAGUAAUAUUUUUAUUAAUUAAUUUUUUUAAUUUGCUAUAUUGAGAUAAAGUCAUAUCUUUGAGAUAUCUUUGAGAUGGGUCCAUGAAAAAAGUGAAAAGAACUGUGGGCUCUCGAGAUUUUUUUUUAUAUAAAAAAAUUCUUAAAUCUAGGUGGGGCUAAUUCCAACCUAUUAUCCGAUACCAACCCGGCCUUAUCUAAGCUUUUGCCUAGGCCUCCAAGUAGGUCAAGCCACCAUCCAUGGAACCAAGCUUUGCUACUAAGGAUUGAAGUAAUGGCGGACAAUAAAUCUAGCCUUUUGCUCAAGUGGUAAGAGUGGGUACUAUUCGAACUAAAAAGAAGUUUUUAGAUUUCAAAAUAGAAUGGGUCUCUAAAGGAGCUACUUUGAAAUACGCACGGGAGAGUGGAGGAGAUGUAGGAGAAAACUUCUCUAUCCAUACCAUCUCUUUGUAUUAAAUGACAUUUUAGUUGAUACAAUCUAAUAAUUAAUCACAACCAUGUAUCUCUUAUAGAUCAAUCACAAAACAAUCAUAAGCUUGUGAUCUAUGAACUCCAAAACUAAACUAUGACAUGGCAUAAUUGUCAAACUUUUAUGAUCUCAUAUAAAUUUUGAAAUUUUAUGAUAAUCUAGUUAUAAUACAUAUAAUAGAUAUUUAGAAAUUUUUAAAUUUUCUUGUUAGUAAAAGCAAAUAUUUGCAUAACCAUCUUGGAUGUCAGGUAGGUUGCCAAACUCUAAGCUUUACAGCAGCUUAGGCCCCAUUUGGAGAGUUUUUGGAGAGCCAAAGAGUAUUUUCUAGCCCUCAAAAAAUACUUUUAGAUAUAGAGGUGUUCAGUAAAAUUUUUGAAAAGCUGUUUUAAUUUUUCUAGAAAGCUAAAUACAAUAUUAUUUUUCAAAAUGGAGCUUCUCCAAAAAAAACAUUUUUGGGAAUUGUCGGAAAACUAUUUUGAGUUAAUAUCCUUUUUGGACCAAAAUACUCAUAAUAAAAUAUAAUAAUUUCACAAAAUAUUCCUUUAUAAUAAUAUUUUAUACUUUUAUUAUUAUAUUAUACUAUAAAUAUUAUAUUACAUUAUAUUAUAUCAUAAUACAUUAAUAUGUUAUGUUAAAUAAUUUAAUAUUAUGUUAUAUUAUGCCAUAGUUAUCGAGAGGAUGCAAAAUUAAUUUAUGCUAAUAAUUAUAAUAUUUUAUACCUUUAUUAUUGUAUUAUACUAUAAAUAUAAUAUUAUAUUACAUUUUAUCAUAAUACAUUGAUAUGUUAUGUUAAAUAAUUUAACAUUAUAUUAAAUUAUUAUGUUACAUUAUACAAUAUAAUAUUACUAUAUUAUAAUACUAUUAUAUUACAUUACAUUAAUAUUAUACUAUAUCAUAUAUUUAUGUAUUAAUAUAUAUUAUAUUUUAUUAUGCUCUGUUGUAUAAUACUAUAUAAUAUCCUUUAUGGUCAUUUUAUCAUACCAAAAGUACUUUCUUAGUUUGUUUACCAAAUAUAUGUUAAAGUUCUACAACACUUUAGAAAGAUAGUUAACAAACAACAAACAGCUUUUUAUAAAACCUAUAUUUUCAAAAGCUUUACUUUCAAAAGCUCUACUUACAAAAAUUCUAUUACGCUCUUCCAAACAUGACCUCUUUUGGAGAGUCAAAAAGUACUUUCUAACCAUCCAAAAGCAUUUUUAGAUAAAAUAAGAGUGUUUGGUAAAAAUUUCAGAGAGCUAUUGUAGCUUUGCCAGAAAAGCUAAAAGCAGCUUUUUGGGAGAAGCUCCAUUUUAGAACUUUUCUGAAAAAACAUUUUUAGGCCUCAUCGGAAAGUUGUUUCGAGUUAUAAUAUUUUUUUCUUUUUGGACCAAAAUACAUGUUAAAAUAUAACAAUUACAUAAAAUGCCCUUUUAUUAUCAUAAAAAUCUGCAGGAGUCCCAACAAAAAAUAUUAUAUUAUAUUAUAUUAUAAUCAUAAAAUAUUUUAUAUCUUUAUUAUUGUAUUAUACUAUAAAUAUAAUAUUAUAUUACAUUAUAUCAUAAUACAUUAAUAUAUUAUGUAAAAUAAUUUAAUAUUAUGUUAUAUUAUGAAAAAUUAAUUUGUGCUAAUAAUAUAAUAUUUUAUACCUUUAUUAUUGUAUUAUACUAUAAAUAUAAUAUAAUAUUAUAUUUUUAUCAUAAUACAUUAAUAUUUUAUGUUAAAUAAUUUAAUAUUAUGUUAUAUGAAAAAUUAAUUUAUGCUAAUAAUUAUAAUAUUUUAUACGUUUAUUAUUGUAUUAUACUAUAAAUAUAAUAUUAUAUUAUAUUAUAUCAUAAUAUAUUGAUAUGUCAUGUUAAAUAAUUUAAUAUUAUAUUAAAUUAUUAUGCUAUAGUAUAUAAUAUUAUAUUAUAUUAUAUCAUAUAUUUAUAUAUUAAUACAUAUUAUAUUUUAUUAUGUUCUAUUAUAUAAUAUUAUGCAAUGUCCUUUAUGGCCAUUUUGUCAUACCAAAAGUAUUUUCUUAAGUUGUUUAUAAAUACAUGUUAAAGUUUUACAGCACUUUAAAAAUAUAGUUACUAAAUAGUAAAUAUUUUUUUAUAAAAGUUUUACUUAUAAAAAUAAAAUAAAAAUAAUAAUAAUAAUAAUAAAACAUAUUUUCAAAAAUUGGCAGCGCCACAGUAUUAGCGUAAGCGCUGGGCCCAAGCCGCCUUUUUCCGGUUGCACUCUUCUGCCCUAAAACCCUAAAACCCGCGGUCCCGUAACCGCCUUUUCUAUCUCUACCAUAUCUCCUCACUUUCCGCCACCGUCGGCCGCCGCGGCCGAAACUGGAAUUUACCCAAAAAGUUUUUAAAAAAUGCAGGCAACGGCGGCCGCUCACCGUCACCACCUCUACUCUCCGUUCACCGCCCCCUCCUUCUCGCACCAUCUCUCCCAAACCACGCGAAUCGGAAGCCGCCGCCGCCGCCGAUCGCCGGCGCCGUUCGGCGUCCGGAUGAGCCUCCGUGACGACGGCCCCGCCCUCGCGGUGGUCGGCGUCACCGGCGCCGUUGGCCAGGAGUUCCUCCGCGUCCUCUCCGACCGCGACUUCCCCUACCGCAGCAUCCGCAUGCUCGCCAGCCACCGCUCCGCCGGCCGCCUCAUCCCCUUCGAGGGCCGUGACUACGUCGUGGAGGAGCUCCGCCCUGAGAGCUUCGAUGGCGUCGACAUCGCCCUCUUCAGCGCCGGCGGCUCCAUCUCGAAGGAGAUGGGCCCGGCCGCCGUCGAGCGGGGCGCCAUUGUGGUCGACAACAGCUCGGCCUUUCGGAUGGACCUGGAGGUCCCGCUCGUCAUCCCGGAGGUGAACCCCGACGCCAUGGCGCACAUCAGGCUCAAUGGGAGGUCGAACGGGGCCCUCAUCGCCAACCCCAAUUGCUCCACCAUCAUCUGUUUGAUGGCCGCUACGCCUCUCCAUCGUCACGCCAAGGUACUAUUUCUACAAGUCUCUUUCCUCCACGAUCGAAUCUUGGUGUUGUCUCCAUCUGAUAUUGUACUCCCUUUCCUACUAAAAAUCUGAUCUUGGAGUUAUUUCAUUGCGGCCGUCUUAUCAAGCCUCUGAAACCAGCAUGGUGAUCAUCCUAUAAGCACCGCGAGCCGUGUGCUCGAGUAUUAUCAUGUUUCAGGAUGUUGACACCAUAUCCAUUUCAUCUUUCUUGCCAUCUAUUUUUUGGUAGGAUUCCUGCAAAGAUAAGCUCUCAAUGUAAAAAACCAAUUUUACCAGUUUGAUAGGUCAUCUAAUGCACCAUGAAACAUCGUUAAUGAAUCUAUCAAGCAUACUAUGCUUAAUUUCCAAUAUUUUUGAUAGCUGUCAAUCUUAUCAUCUCACAACAAACGUAGGGUAGAUUCCAUGUUCAUACACCCAAUCAAAAAUUUAUUUGUAGUUCAAAAGAAGGGUUUGGAUUAGCUCUGAGAAUUUGGUUAGGCUUCAGUUUGGCAUCCUUGCUGGAAUAACUUUUGAAUUCGAAUUUCUAGAGUACUUCUGUACCUUUUCACUUGAAGUUUUUGAAUGUUGUGAUGAUCAGUGCCAACCUAACCUGUCAUCUUGGCUUUGUGCAUGUGGAAGGUGAUGAGAAUGGUCGUCAGCACCUAUCAAGCAGCCAGUGGUGCAGGUGCUGCAGCAAUGGAAGAGCUUGAACUGCAGACUCGUGAGGUAUUCUGCUUGAUUCUCUCUUCCAGUCUGCUUUGUUUUUUCCUUAAGACUGCUGAAUUAUGGUGCAUAUUUUUCUGUAGGUCUUAGAUGGAAAGCAACCCACCUGUAAAAUCUUUAAAAAACAGGUUCUUUUUAUUUUUCCAUCUGGGUUACUGUGAAUUGAAAAUUAUAAUGAAUGGACGGUUGAUGCCAAAUUAUUGGUUAAUUUCUGUUCAUGCAGUAUGCAUUUAAUCUGUUCUCUCAUAAUGCACCAGUUCUCUCAAAUGGGUAUAAUGAAGAGGAAAUGAAAAUGGUGAAGGAAACAAGAAAAAUCUGGGUAACUCUUUCUGCAUUGUGUAUAUGGACACAUUUCUUCAUUCUGUCUUAUUGAUUCUUUCAUCAUUUUCCCAUUUAACGUGCCUCAUCUGUCUUAUGUUUCAAAUGGACCUGUUUUAGAAUGAUAUGGAUGUCAAAGUGACUGCGACUUGCAUACGAGUUCCUGUAAUGCGUGCACAUGCUGAAAGCAUGAAUCUCCAAUUUGAAAAUCCACUUGAUGAGGUGAGCUGUGAAAAAUAACAUGCUCUGCUUGACAACGGAAUCUUAUAAACUGCUAUGCUGGUUGCUAGAGGGUCACUUAUAAUACAGGGAGUCCUUUUUGAUAAAUUGGCUGAAGCCUUUGCUUUGGUGGAUAUCCUUAUGUCCAUAUUGUUGUAUUUAACAGUAGCUCCUGUUUGUGUUGGUACAUAUACCCUUCUGUCCAGUUAUGCAUAUUUAUAAGCAGUCUAAAAUGUCAAGUGGGAUGAGAUUGCUACAAAUAACACCAUCUAGUUUUUGAGAUAAUAUCAUUUAGAGGGGCAUAGCUGGUGGUGAAACUAGCAAAUAGUUCAACAAGUAAUGUAGACACUUUUAAAUUCAUGGUAUCAUAUGAUGAUGAUCAUUGAUGCUGGUCUUGGUUUGCUUCCAUGAAAGAAUACUUAAACCUGAGGUGUAAUUCCAUUAUACAGUUAUGGAAUACCUUUAGCCAUACCUUUAGUAGGGAAUUGGAAUUUGGUUUCAACUUCGAUUACUUGCCAAUUUGGUCACAUGCGUAAGAAAAAAGAUAAAUUUAUGCAUAUUCAUGUACACUGAAAGCAAGCCCUGAUGUCUAGUAUGCAGAUAUUGGGACUUCUUCACAAACUUGUAUUUACUACAUAGCAUUUUGUAACAACAUUGAUAAUUUCAGAGUCAGAACAUACAUAGCUAAAAAUCUAGAUGGUGUUUUAUUUUUUUCUCAUUGUCCUUCGGUAUGUUUGGUGUCAGGCACUUAUUUCUAGCUCAUCCCCCUUCUAUUAUUAGUGUUACCACCAUGACAUUCCUUUCCGUGAUAAGACUUCACAUGCUCGUAAGAUAAUGGCCUCAUGGGUUUUUGUUGUGUCUACACUUUUAUAGUUGUUUUCUUUCUGUAAUUGGUGUUGAAGACAUGGCUGAUGCUAUCAGUUAUCAUUUCAUAAAGUCAUAUUAACUGUUAGAAUUUAUAGAGACACUUUGGCAUGCUAAAAUUGCCUCAACAAAACUCCUUAUCACUAGAUUACUGAAGCUUUGGCCCAAUAAGACAUUUCAUGAAUGAGAGAGGGAAAUGUUUCAGUUAGCAGUUACUUAAGUGCUUAGCAGUAUUUCAUGAACACUUAUGCGUUUUUCUUUUUUUAUCUCCUGAGUCAAUGUGAUCUCAGGUUUUUUAAGCAACAUAUUAGGCCUCUUGUCAAGAGGUGAGUCAAAUUUUUCUGUUUCAAGUAUGAAGCUCAUUUCCAGAAGGGCUUCCUGGAAAGUUGUAUUGUUUGGGAAUAUCUAAUUGAACAUUAAAUAAGCAUAUCCAGCAAAUAUGUGAAUGGUGAAGUGGGUUUGUGGAAAACUAUAGGAAGGAUUGGAUUAGGGACAUGGACUCCAAAAUUGUUGGGAAUUGAGCAAAUGGAAGAUAAAGCAAUGGAGAACUGAUUGAGAUGGCAUAGUUUUGUGAGAAAAGAAAAUGGUGGGGCCUUGAUGUUCCUCAACUGUCGGCAUGGAUAUCUAUGAUAGGGGUUAGGAUAAAGAUUUUUAGCUGACUCUUGCUGUAUAUUCUGACAUGCUUAAGCUCCCGUAUCAUCCCAACAUAUUUGUUCAUUUGUCCUGUAGAUGAACUUCUUAUUUUAGCUAUCAUUGCCAUUUCAAAUUCCUUGUACUCCUUGUCAGCAGUCAGCCAGCAACUUGGUAUUGCCAUCUCGAGGGUACUGGAAAUAAUUAGUAGAUGUUUUCCAUCUUUAGUCAAAGUUACAAUGUCCAUUUUGCCCCACGUUUUUAUCAUUUGAUUUUCAAGUUUUUCAGAGCCUCGUGGCAAGUUUUAGUGAUCUGCUUCUUAAUGCAUGGACAAAUUAAGACUCUUAUAUCUAUCAACCUGGUUUUCUCAUAUUAUUUUCCUGUCAGAAUAACAAAUUCGGCCAGCUCUAACUGAUGGUGAGUUCACAAUUUUGGUGAACUAGCUAUUUUAGAAGGUAAUUACCUGAUGUUUCUCAUUACUCAAAGUGCGCAUCAGAGCUUUGAAGGUUGCAUUACGUCAUAGAGGUCUUUCAUUUGAGCUAAUGGUAUUGCCUGACCUUUCUUUUGUCACUUAUGAGUGGUAAGAUGGUUCAUGCUCAAUAUUUCUGUUAUUAGCAAGGUACUGGCGAAUGGAUUAUCUUACUCUUCUACAUCACAGUUUAAUUUUUGGGAACAUGUUCUUUAUAUUGUUAUCACAUGGACGACAUUUGGAGUCUGUAUGUUUACCUGCUGUCUUAUAGUUCUUACUAUAUGAACUCCUAGAAGACAAUUAGACAUGGACGGAGUGAAUUCUAUUUGCAUGUUGAUUGGAUAGGACACUGCAAGGCAAAUUCUUAAUGGAGCUCCUGGCGUGGUGGUAAUUGAUGACCGGACAUCCAAUCACUUCCCUACACCCUUGGAGGUUUGUUUCUUGAUUUAUGCAAUAAUUUUUAUGACAGUUAGGCAUCAUAAUGAGGACACUGGAUUGCCAUUGGAUAACUGUCAUGCUGAAGUAGUGUACGAAUUUGUUUUCUUUGUAACUGAGCACUUGAUGAUGCAUUAAGUUUAAAGAAGAAAAUUCCAACUGCAGGUAUCAAACAAAGAUGAUGUUGCAGUAGGACGGAUUCGUCAAGAUUUAUCUCAAGAUGGCAACCUUGGGUAAUCUGACUUUCCUUUAGUCAAAAUUCUAGUGGCUACUACCAGUAGGAUUACCAGUAUUACCAUCAUUAUUCUUUUGAGCAAUAUGAUGUAUGUUGUACUACUAGGUUUCUCGCUACUUUAUAUGGUUACUAGUAUCAUCAGACCACAUGAUAUGUUAACUAGAAGAUUUCGCACAGGUUGGACAUAUUUGUCUGUGGGGAUCAGAUCCGUAAAGGAGCUGCGCUAAAUGCCAUCCAGAUCGCUGAAAAGUUGCUUCAGUAGAUAUGCAGAUUGUUCUGCAAGUGGCUGGGCAUUGUUUUUUUGUCAACUGUUGUUUGGAGAGAAUCAUUAGGAAGCAAAGCAGAAAUUAGAGUGGGUUUAGCUUCCCUGAGAAUGAUGUAUCAUUUGCUUGUGUUAUAGGAGAGAGCAAAUUUUGGGUAAUGGUCUAUUAUUUAGUAUCGGUUGGUAAGUUAGUAAUUAUACGGUGAGGUACUUGUUUAUCAACUGCUUUGAGAAUAAGAAUGCCAUUUGCAAUUCUGUAUUAUCAAUUUGCUUUUCUGAUAAACAUGUUUUUGAUCAUCGGAUGGUUGCUAACAUAAAGCUAUAGCACGAAAGAUUAAACUUCAAGAGGCUUUCUAGUGACUUGCAUAGGCUGUUGUUCAAUUUGUCAUACCAGCCGAUUUGACUUCAUUAAAGUUUCUUAGUAUGAUUAAAACUCGAAAUUUUGGUAUGUAUUUUCAGUUAUUCUUUGUAGUCUUCAUCUUAUUGUUUUAUCCAGAUAGAGAAGCUGUUCUUUUUCAUAAUAAAUAGAACUAUGCUUGGGUGUAAAUUAUUAAAUUAAUUACUGUUUUAAUUGCCUGUGGUAUUGUAGUUAUUAAAAGUAGCCAGUUUAAAUUCUAGGUGCUACUUCAGCAGGAUCCCUUGAUGUAACAUCAGGUUGAGCAGGUUGAAGACAAACACUAAUACUAGCUAAAAUAAGAUGAUCAUGACCAUAUCCCUGAUGUUCUAUAUAUAUGAUUAUAUCUGUUCUUCUCCCCAGCUUUCUUGCCAUCUCAAUAAUUUGGCUUCGCUCCGCAGCAGCAAGCCUCCAAUACCUGGCAGGCUCACUUGGUUGCUGGGAUAAAGCAAUCAGCAUAUCUGUUGUUCUACUCUAAUUAGGCCAUGUUUGAUUGACAGGAAUUAAUAGAUGGAAUUGGGUUUGGAAAUGCUGUUCCAGGCUAAUUCCAUGUUGGUAACUUACCUGGAUGUAGAAAUGCUGAUCCCUAGCAUUAGAUUCCCAUAAAAGAGUAAAACUAUAUGUAAGGAGGGACAUGAAUAAUACUAAAAAGAGAUAUAUCAUGUCAUAUCAUAUCAAUUAUUUAUUUAUUAAUUUAUUAUAUAAUAUUUGAACUCUAUAGUAGUAUUGUAUGUAGUUUUCAGUAUUAUAUAUUAUUAAUGAUAUUAUUACGUCAUCACAGUAUUGCAUAUUAUUAAAUUAAUUUUAUAGUUAUAAUAAUAUUAAACAUACAUUAUAAUUAUCACAUGAUACUUGUAUUGCUAGAUUAUAUAGUUUAUUACUUCUAUUUGCAUUACUUUUUAAUCAAAAAAAUAUAUUAGUACUAGUAUCAGCAUUAAUAAUAUCAUGCUAUAUUAAUAAUAUUAAUUGCUUUGGGAAGACAAUCCUCCACGACCAGGAAACCUGGAUUUUCUUCUCACUGUAGUCCAACCUUGGUCAUCUGGGUUGUUUCCUUGCUCAGCUUCAUUAGCAACAGUAUUGGUGCGACUUGCCAUAGUAUAAUAAUACAGGCAAUCAUGGAGUUUCUCUAUGAUGGUGGUAGGGUGACGAAUCGAGACUCAUUACUCACUAUAUCAAUGGCAAUUCGUCGCCCGUUGACUAGAGAAUGGCCCGAUCCAAGUCUACAAAUCUCUAAAAUAUAUGGGUCGGAAAUCAAGUUAAAAACACUUGACUGUUGGGAAAAGGCAUAGAAAAUGCUAAGCAAAGAAGUUCGAAAAAUUAUCCUCAACUUGGUAACCCGAACAUAAGAAAUAUAUAAUCUUAUAGAAGAACUUAAAACAUUUUUCAUGAAUGGUCCAAGAGUUUGAAUGGGGAACCUUCUUUUGAAACCUUCCUUACGGCAAUAAGAGCAUAGGUUACUCUACUAGUUUCUCCAUUUUUCCCAUGGUUGUAUUUACCAUCCUUCAUAAUGUCAUGGGCAGCCGUACUGAAGAAUAACUGAAUCGUCAUCGCUGCCAUACUGAAGAACAGCCAAACCGCCUCCACCACUGCCCUUCGGAUAAUGCACCAGUACCUGCUAAAAAAGAAAGGGGGAAGCCGUCCAGCCCUAGGGUUGUCCUCCGCUAAGGCCCAGAUGGCCCUUUAUACCUCAUUCUCCGAUACUGCUCGAAUCAAAUAUGUAUUCUCCUCCAGCCCAAUUCCACGAUCUGACGCAGCAAAUCGAAUGGGCACCUCCAAGUUGCUAUCCUUCAUCUACUUGGACCUAAAAAAGUCAAACAGAAUUUGCCUGAUCCUGCUCUCCUCCUCGACCCUCUGUCCUGGCUCAUCCCGUAGGGAGCAGAUCGUGUUUUUAUGUCGUCCUUCCUGAUCCACUAGACGAAUCGAGUGCUCAUGUCGCCCUUCCUGAUCCAUUGGACUCUGUACUUUUAUCGCCAAAAGACCUUUUGCUGCCGCAAAAGAGAAUGGUGCAUCACCAGCUUCUGUCGUAGUGCAACCAUGUCAGCCUCUAGUAGUUCGCCACUCCUGUCCUCCCUUCCCUGAAGCUCAGUGAUGGACUCCACCUCCUCCAAUCAUCUAAAGAUGUCAUCCACCAUCUCACGAUUCCAUCUGCGCAGUCGCCACUUGGUGAGCUCCAGUUUGUGAGAGACCCUCUGCAUGGUAUUUCUUCGCACCGGCAACCCCCAGGCCCCCCAGACAAUAUCUCAAGAUUGGGGAUGCAAGAGCCACAACUUCUCAAAGUGGGAGGGAUUGUGAUGGCCGGUGCCUGAAGCAGUAAUGAUCAAAAGUGGAAGUGGUCAGAAGCAAUCCGAGACAGAUGACGUACUUGAUAAGCAAGAAAUCGCUAGAUCCAACAUGCUAAUGCCACAGCUCUAUCAACCCUCUCCCACACUCUAGCACGACCCAAAUGGUUGUUACACCAGGUAAAUCUCAGCCUAGAGAAACUGAGGUCCACCAACCUAUUCACUGUCAAAACAUCUCGAAAUUCCCUUCUCUCCAUCUUAUUAGUAUAGACCCUACCACCUCUCUUCUCGCUGGGUCCUUGAAUGCAGUUGAAGUCAUCCGUGACCACAAUCGGAAUCCUCUAGGAGACAAGGUUAGUAAUCUCACCCAAGAGGGCUCUCCUUAUCCUGUAGUCAGUACUAGCAUAUACACCAGACAUAAUCCAGGAGAACUCAUUGGAUUCCGAGAUUAUCAUUACAACUUGUUGGGGGAAGUUGUGGAAAACAUCCACCAUUGCAACACCUCGCUUCCACAAGAUCAAAAUACCCCUGGACAAGCUUUGAAACUCCACAGCAACGAACUCCCAGGUAGCAGACAAGUGGUGCUGAACUCGAUGGAGGCCCUCUGCAGAGAGACUCGUCUCACAUAGGAAACAGAUGCCCAAGCCGUUCACCUCGACCAGUCUUCUAAAUGAGGAGUUGAAGGAGGGCUUGGCUGCUCCCCUACAAUUUCAAACAAAGAUCUUCAUUCUGCGCCACUCUGCAAGUUUGGCCCUUGCUCCUCACCACACAGGGCUACACCAAUUUUCCCCCAGGUUGGGUCGGCCCACUACCAGCCCUUUCCUCUUCAACCGAAGCCGAUGCCUCCCCCAUUACUGCUGAGCGCUCCAGCAUCACUGCUCUAAGGUGAUCCAGGGGGCUUUAGCUCCACUGUGGGCUGGUCAGCCCAACGCCAGUUUGCUGCCAUCAACCUCCUCCUCGAACACAUUCCCACCCAGCCCGGACUCCAAGGAUUCUACGUCCGAGCUACCUGAGGUGCCAACGCCCAGUGAGACAGUGCCCGAAGCAGACCAUAGAGGCCCCACCACCGACGCCCCCGGCAGAGACAAGGGAUGGCCGAGGGUCGCCGUGGUUGGAGGCGACCGCACCGGAGAAGACAUCCGAGGAGGAGGGGAAGGGGGGCAACCCCCAGCUCCUGUGUGCCCAGGCCUGACCCCGAGCCUAGUUCGAGCCCAGCCUGACGUUCGAGCGCCAUGAUCGCACCUAGCUCAGUAGAGUGGGUGGUCCGGCCCAAACUCCUAGGCUAGCCCCCAUCACCCUGGCCCAGACCCACUCCAGCCUAAUCGGACACUAGGCUUCUGGGCUGCUUGUUGGACGAGCCCAGGCCCACUUCAUCAUCUGGACGUCUGGGCUAGCUUGCAUUCUGGCCGGCCCAGCACCCAUUGUGUCAGACUCAAGUAGACUAGUUCGGUAAACGGGUCAAAACUUGACCCGACUCAGCCACACCCCUGAGCCGAUCCCGACCCUAGGCCCGAGUCACUGCCCUCGCCGACCGACCGGACCUUUGGGGGGGAGCACCACCGCACCACGUUCGCUAGUUUUUGCCAGCCGCCCGAGACUGGCAGCGAGCUUGGAGAACUCGGGCGGUUGGGCGGAAAUUGUGGCCUAGAGGAGGACGACUCAGGCGUUGACUCGGUUGUCUUCCUCAGCCGUGGUGGUCCCUUCGCCGCGCGUGACGACUGAAUCCUCUUGGCUGCCAGCCACGGGCCAAAGAUCGACCGAUGAUGUCCUCGUCAGAGCUAAAGUCCAACUCCUCCCGAUUGCCGCCGGUCCCCACCACCAUGGGUGCCCACUUUUGCCCCUCCUCCUCCAGCGCCGAAAAUCUACACUCCGCCUCCACGUGCCCAAUCCACCCGCAACUAUAGCAAAACCCGACCACAUCCAUAUAGAGGAAAGGCUGCCACAACACCCUCGCUUUCCUCCUGAACUGGACAUCAGGCAGUAGCAGCUGAGUAACAUCGAUUGACACCUUAACUCAAGCAAACCCCAUGACUUUCUGCCUCUCAGUGAUCUCAUCGACGGCGAGCAGCCGACCGGCCACCGCCAUGAUCCAAAAGAUCGUCUUACUUGACCAGUAUUCCACUAGGAGCCGAGGCAGCCAGAUUUAGACUACCACUACUUUUACAACGUCUAGUCUCGGCACAAAAUCAGGAGCCCAUGGCUCUAUGGCCCGCAACUAGCCCGCCACCACCUGUGGCCCAUCGGACAGAACUAGAUCCCGGUCUGUCGUUGAUUUGAACCGAAGCACGAGGUGGUCGUCGAUAAGCAGCACUGCCUCCACCUUUGCCUCUGUUUUCUCCCGAAGAGCUACAUCCUAGGCCACCCACUCCGUUGGCACUCGAUGGCCCAAACUAUGGACCACCAUCGCUCGAUCCUUCCACUCCCUUUGCGAGCCUCGAUCGGCUCCUCCGAUAGCUCGAGGACCGCUGAGAUCAGUCUCCGGAGCUUCUCCACCUCCAUCUCUAAGAUUAGGUGUGUUGUCCAGUCCCCAAGGCUCGCCCAAGCACCCGUCUCCUCCCCUCUCGCCGAUGAACCCUGGUCUCCACCCGUAGCAGCGCCGCCCAUGGCCUUGCUAGCCUCAGCCUUCUUCACCAUCGUCAGUUGCGCACGCUUUUCAAAGUUUUGCCGGAGCGAACUAGCUGUCGUUAGCCAAAUGGACUGAAAAAUCUUUUGGAUUUCUGGAAUGGAUCAGUGCAAUCAGUAAAGCCAUGCAAUUAAAGAUUAAGAUCGAUUAUGUAUAAGUAUCCAGAAAUAGUUUUAACGUCGAUUGGCUCGAAUUAGAGAGAGAGAGAGAUCAGGCUUUUAUCGGUGACGUAGAAAAUGCUGAGUAAUCGUGGUAGGACCGCAUGUGGAGGUUCCCAUCGAUUCAGUUUACUGUCUUUAUAACCAGAGAUCAUUACAGAAUACAGAGUAAUCGGCGACUCCAAAAUAAAGUGUCUCCUUCCUCCACAGUCCACACCCUCUCUCUCUCUCCCCACCAUGGCCGCGGAGACCGAGGCGGCGGCGGCACCGCCGGAGGACCGGGAGGCUGAGGCCCUCCGUAUGAAAUCCCUAGCGGAGGAGAAGCUCCGGUCGUCAUCCCUUAAAGCCGCCCUCAAGUACGCGAAGCGCGCGGCCCGUCUCCGCCCUGACCUCGAUGGCGUCUCUCAGAUGGUCACCGCCCUCAAGAUCCUCCGCGCCGACCCCUCCGACCACUACAAGGUCCUCCGCAUCCCCCCCUUCUCCCUGCCCUCCUCCAUCCGACGCCAGUACAAGACCCUCGCCCUCGCCCUCCACCCCGACAAGUCCUCCUCCUCUGUCCCCUCCGCCUCUGCCGCCACCUCCGAGGCCUUCAAGCGCGUCACCGACUCCUUCCGCUUCCUCUCCGACCGCGGCCGCAAGCGCGACUUCGACCUCUCCCUCCGCCUCGCCAAGGAGAAGGAGGCCUCCGCAGCAGCGGAGGGGCCGGUGGAGACAUUCUGGACCGCCUGCACCACUUGCCGCCUUCUCCACGAGUUUGACCGCCGGUACGUCGGGUACCGCCUCAUUUGCCCUGGCUGCCGCAAGAGCUUCCUCGCCGUCGAGGUCCCCCCCUCCGUCGACGACGACGGCGGCAAGCUCGAGAACAACGGAGGUGGCGGCGGCAGCGGUGGCGCGAUGGUUAGGGUUACUCGGUCCAGGUCCAAUACUAGGCCUAGGAUUCCCCGGUUCCCCCCCCUGGCGGGAGAUGACAAGAGGAAAGCUGAAGUUUCUAGGGUUUCUACUUCCCCGGUGUCCAAGAAACUCUCGCAGAGGCCGGAGAAGACACUGGCCGAGAUGCAGAAGGAGCUUGCAAAGGGGAAGGUGAAGGAGAAGAAGAAAGAAAAGGGGAAGGAGGAGGAGGAGAAGGAGAAGGAGGAGGGUAAAGAGAAGAAAGCUAUGGUGCCUAUGAAGCAUAAAGAUGACGAGUUGAUCUCGAUGGCAGUGGAGGACUCCGAUUUCUAUGAUUUCGACAAGGAUAGGACUGAGAAGAGUUUCAGGAAAGGGCAGAUUUGGGCUAUCUAUGAUGAUGAUGAUGGGAUGCCUCGGCAUUAUGGUCUGAUAGAAGAGGUGUUCUCUUCGAAUCCAUUCAGAGUGAAGAUGAGUUGGUUGGACAUCCAGAAUCAUGGGGAUGAGUCCCUGGUGCUGUGGGAGAAGUCAGGAUUCCACAUAUCCUGCGGGCGGUUCAAGGUCGGGAGGAAGGUUGACAUUGAUUCGGUGAACUUCUUCUCCCAUUUAGUUGAAUGCGAGAGGGCAGCGAGGGAUGUCUAUAGGAUUUACCCUAAGAAAGGUUCGGCUUGGGCGCUGUACGGUGAAAGGACUUUGGGGGGUGAUGAGGGGAGGUACUAUGAUAUAGUCGUGUUCCUUACCAGCUAUAGUGAGAUGCAUGGUUUGAGCAUGGCUUAUCUUGAGAAGGUAGAAGGGUACAAGACCAUAUUUAAGAGGCAGGCAAUUGGUUGUCAUGCUGUCAAGUGGAUUGAGAAAGAUGAUGUUAGGCUGUUCUCGCAUCAAAUUCCAGCCCGGAAGCUUUUGGAUACAGAGGGACUGAAUCUGCCAAGAGAGUGUUGGGAGCUCGAUCCUGCCUCACUUCCUCCGGAGUUGCUUAACAUUUGUUGGGAUGGAUAAUAUGCUACUCUCGUGCUGUCAUUACUGUGAUAGGAUAUGGUAUUUUAGAAGCCAAGUUCCCUAUGAGCUGAUGAUAUUGUUUUGCCACCCCAGCUGUUCUUUUCUAUUAGGUGAUUAGCAGAACUCAAAUUGUCCAUGAGCCAAAUUCCCUAUGAGUCAGAUUCCUUCUGGUGUUCGUCUGCUUGAACUUUAAAUUAUCCUGCUUUCAUCUGAUUUUACAUGUUAACUGCCUAUACAAUGUUCCCAAAAUGUUGUUCCUGUUCCUCAUUGAAAUUAGUAAGUAGCACAGCUUUAAAGACCUUAUUGCAAUUUGAAUGCUUUGAAUGUUCUUUUUAACACUUCGUACAUGGUUUGAGUUCUUCCUAGGCUUUUCUAUUUUUACUUAGAUUUUUUAGUUUCUAAUCUUAACAUGAGGUAUAAAGCUAUAUGAAGUAAAAAUAAGACAUCAACAAGUCAGCAUGCUUUGAUAUUGCUUCAUUUUGCAAUAGCAGGAAACAAAUACAUGUGAAUGACUCCCUUUUCUUUUAUGUCAUUGAUGAAGCAGCUUUUUUGAUCUUAUUUUAACCAGUAUAGAUAUAAACAGUACAGUAAAAUAUUAAAUUGCCAAAAAGAUGCUCUUAAUAAAGUCAAUUCACAUAUAACAUGAAUUCAUAUAAAUAUGUAUUUGUCUAUGAAGGUUUACUACAUUUCAUAAAAUGGCUCCUCAUUUAUUACACUUAGAUACCAAUAUCAUGCAUGUUUUGUGAUAUUUAAAAUCUUAAUUAGUUGUUGCCCUCUGAUACAUUUUUGCCCAUCUUGACCUCAUUUACUUAUGUGUAAUAGUUGUAUUCAUUUGAAAUAUGACAUGAGAAUUCCUGAAUGUAUUCCACAAUGGAAGUUUUUCUGGGAUAUAGCACAGGGGUUUGUUUUAUUCUCAUAGCGUCACCGACAAAGCUACUAAAUACUAGGUGGAGAAGCCAGGGGCCUCGUUUACAGUUCACACACAAUGAGCUUCUUCUCCUCAAAUGUCCAUUAAGCUAGCUGGACAAGUUGAUGUAUGAGUUGUUUAAUAUAUAGCUUCAUGAGGGCUUUUGGUGGGGACACAGACCACCGUUUCCAGCAUGUGUAUAGGCGUCGCCGGCGUGCAUAGCACUUUAGCCGCCCUAGUUUNNNNNNNNNNNNNNNNNNNNNNNNNNNNNNNNNNNNNNNNNNNNNNNNNNNNNNNNNNNNNNNNNNNNNNNNNNNNNNNNNNNNNNNNNNNNNNNNNNNNNNNNNNNNNNNNNNNNNNNNNNNNNNNNNNNNNNNNNNNNNNNNNNNNNNNNNNNNNNNNNNNNNNNNNNNNNNNNNNNNNNNNNNNNNNNNNNNNNNNNNNNNNNNNNNNNNNNNNNNNNNNNNNNNNNNNNNNNNNNNNNNNNNNNNNNNNNNNNNNNNNNNNNNNNNNNNNNNNNNNNNNNNNNNNNNNNNNNNNNNNNNNUCAGUUUGGUAUCAGAGCACCGUUGGGCUUUGCCUCUGUGCCAACGCCCCGAUCCUGUCUGUCUAUUUCCCUCCCCUUUCUUUCUCUGCCAUUUUCUGGGCUGCAGUGGGACAGACUACAAAAAAAAAUCCUUUGUUGUCUCCUCUGUUCCCGAAACUCCCACAGAGAUCUACCCUGUGUAUGGCGGAGCAGCGCCGAAUUCCGGGAUUCAGGUGGGCACACGAGAUCUACGCUGCACCCCGACCACCACGGACGCCGGAGCGUGUUGAAGGACCACGCCCAACUUGUGUGACCAGAAAAGGAAGGAGCCUAGCCUCCCUAAUUUCUUCACUGUCUCUUGGUUCCACCGUCGCAGCCGCAGACCCCACUCACAGAGAAGAGAUCCGGGGAGAGCAACGGUGCUCGGAUCAGGUGGUAGACCGCCGUCCACCACCGCAGGCCACGGGAUCCACUCUGCAGCAAUAGCCACAGAGUCCGGAACUACCUCCCGAAACCGUCGGGAGGUUGGAGGAGCACUGAUUAACGGGUAAGUCUCUCACCCGUUACCCAGUUUAUUAGCCCGGAUCCACUCCCAAAAAAAAAAGAGCACGUGCCCCAACCCACGUGAGGCACACGUGCUUCAUCGCACGUGAGUCGCACAAGUUAUUCCAAAAAAAAAAAGUACCUUUCUUCCCCGAGAUCUCCAUUGCAGAGCCGCUGCCGGCCGGCCGCAGCACCGCCUCCUUGCCGACGAACCACGCCGCCGAGCUCCUCUGCACGCUGCGCCGCCUCAGUCCUCGCCGUGCCGCAGCUCCACCCCACUCAUCAUCCUCUUCCUCACCACCGCCUCGGUCACACCACCACCUUCCCCUUCAUCUUCUCCGCUGCUUCCACCCUCCACCAACCUUCGAAUCCACCUUGUUCGUCUCCCUCCCGGCUCACUGAAACUUUCUCCCUCCCAUACCUCAUCUCUAAAAACCCUAAUCCCCUUUCUUCUUCUCCCUUUCAUCUCACCGAGACCCCUUCUUCUUCUGUGCCGCCACCCCCGACUUCCGUUGCCGACUCCAUCCUCCGCCUUCGCCGACCCCCUCGCUCCCCAAAACGAGGGAUCCCACCCUCCGACAUCGCUCCUCUUUCACUCUUCCCCCUCCCCCUCCGGUGUUUCCCUCAGAUCUACUCUCAAACACA